Penaeus chinensis is the source of this 231-nucleotide long non-coding RNA. RefSeq lists it as uncharacterized. The record is from RefSeq and is a predicted model, not a curated record. NCBI's taxonomy places the organism in Eukaryota, Metazoa, Arthropoda, Malacostraca, Decapoda, Penaeidae. The transcript has 2 exons.
CUGAAUGAUACAUAUAUUAUUUUUCUUACUUAGCAUUGUUAUUAUUUUUCCCCUAUUAUUCAUUCAUUAUUGCUGUUCCCAAUUGUUAGUCCCCGGCCAGGAACUUCUGAUAUGCUUUUCUUCAGUUCGUCUGCCUCACCUUUUGGGUCCAGAAGGUAAGCUGUCCGUUGCUGCGUACGAAUAAAGGAGUGAAGCUGCUGUGAGUAGUCGGUUUCUGGUUAGAAGACAAAA